GGGACAGUGAAAAAUGCAGCAAUCAAAUUAAUCACGCAAAAGGCACAGGCCAAUUACUCACACGCCAUCCAGAGCGCGGCGCCGCCGCCCGAAGAACAGGUGAUAGUUAUCAUUAAAUUAGAGGGAGAUCAGCGACUGGAGCUGCUCCGUCACGCGGGACCUCGAUGAACCUCGGGCCGGGAAGCUGCGUUUCGCCCGCGGGCGCGGUGGCAGCCGAGGCGGCCCAUAUGUUCCUCUCGUUGGAGAGGAGCGGAGGAGAGGGGUUGAGAUAAUGAUUCAUGGAAACGUGGGCGACGCAACACGACAACGACAACGACGACAACAACAACAACAACAACAUCUGGUGGUGCGCCGGUUCCUCACGUGCAUCCGGUGGCUCAGCGGGGUCCCGUAGGGCAAAGCGUCGGGCCGCUGCCAGCUCUGUGGUGCCGGUGCCUAAGAUUUCAUUUGGGAGCGAACACCAUUAUGCCGCCGCCGGAGAGCGACGGGGGAAGGCACGUCGUCGCAAGCGAGGAACGCCACGAUGUCAGCGGUAACUCCGGGAUCACGCAAACACCCCAAGACCAAGAUGGCGACUCCACCGAUGCCGAAAUCAAGUCAAAUUAAAAC
Long non-coding RNA from Gasterosteus aculeatus aculeatus (three-spined stickleback), 609 nucleotides. The record is from Ensembl. NCBI's taxonomy places the organism in Eukaryota, Metazoa, Chordata, Actinopteri, Perciformes, Gasterosteidae.